Long non-coding RNA from Panthera uncia (snow leopard), 1260 nucleotides. RefSeq lists it as uncharacterized. Lineage: Eukaryota; Metazoa; Chordata; Mammalia; Carnivora; Felidae. The transcript has 4 exons. The record is from RefSeq and is a predicted model, not a curated record.
AAGUAAUCCAGCAGCAUACGUAGAGGUCUUCCCUCACUGAAUUGCCUUAAGCACACCUUUCCACAUUUGUUCAAAACCUAUUUCCUGCAACGUGGAGACUAUGAAGCUAGUAUGAGAAUAGAUUAUCACACUUUGGAUACCGCUUCAGAGAACUCUGAAAAGGAAGAGGAAGAAGUCAUGGGGUGCAAGCAACAGUCAUGUUCAAAUGGGAAUAACACUUAACUUCUUAAAAUUCCACGUUUAAAUACUACAAUGAAAAGGGUUUAAAAUACUUUCUACAAGUUAUUUUGAAUUAAAAAAUAAUUCAAGCCACAGGGACAACCAUUACAGUAAAGAUGAAAUACUGCUUCAAUACCUAUUCGGACAUGGAAACUAGCUCAACAUUUAAGUUCCAUAGACGGAUGGAAACUGAGAGAUUCUGGGUUUUAACCUUACUCUCUACUCCUUGCAAAGAUUCUGUGAGUUUCAAGACAUUCUUUUAAAAAUUAUUUUUGUAGAUAUCAUCAAGACAGGCACAACAGAAGAAGGAGGUUUAGGGAAUAAAAACGUGAUUAUUUAGUGGAAGUCUAUUUAGUAAAUGGCGACACCAAUUCAAUGUCAAUUCUCAAAUUGAGAGAAAAAUUGAGGGAUGUUCCAGACAAAAUCUGAACAGAUUACCUGUGAAAUUAAACAAAUUGUUGUAACAUUUAUAUGGAAGUUCAAACAGUCAAUUAGAAUCAAUACCUAUUACGGAAGAAGAAAGAAGUGAAGAGACUUCCGACAACAAACUAAAUAUUACAACAUAUUACAAAACUAUUUAGUCAAGCCUGUGACAUUGGCACAGAAAUAGAGUAAUAAAGCAAUAAAAUAAAAUACAGAGAAUAUAAAAAUGGGUUUACAGAUAUAUGGACACUAGACUUAUGACUUGUCUUUACAGUGCAAAGGGAAAUUAAUAAAUAAAUAAAGGAGAAUAACUUCAUGACAUUUGUGUCGUGAAAAAUGUUUUAAACUGACAGAAAAAGCAGAAACUCUAAAGAAAAUAACUGACAAGUUUAAAUACAUUAAAACUAAGAACUUCUCACAAACAAGAGCUAUUAAGAGAUGGUAAACAGCUAUAGGGAGACUGAGUUGAUGUUUCCAACUACCGACAAGUGGAUUGUAUCCAAACUAUACACAGAACCCCCCAAAAUCAAUAAAUGGAAGACACACAAGCCAAUAGGUGAAAAACAACUUAAAUGCAGAUUUUAAGAAAUGAAAAUUCAAAAGACCUAUAAACAUAGA